This 343-nucleotide long non-coding RNA is filed under the name Elaeis guineensis (African oil palm). RNAcentral describes it as "long non-coding RNA (EGUI_LNC017962)". The record is from RNAcentral. Lineage: Eukaryota; Viridiplantae; Streptophyta; Magnoliopsida; Arecales; Arecaceae.
AAGCCAUGAUGUCCUUGCAAAGCUAAGUGCCAAAAUCCAAUCACAAAUACCAUAAUCAGCUAGUUUUUAACCCCAACUAGGCUCAUGCAACAGUGUCUCCAAGUCCAUAUAGGCAAUGGGUUAGGUUCACUUUAAUGCAAUUUGCAGCAAUGUAAGACCUCACGCAAAAAAACUAACCAGAAAGUGUUUUUUGGAUUGCUUAACCAUGUAUAAGUACCAAGAUCUAUCCAAUGCAUACCAACGUGGGACUAAUGCACGCCUACAUAGGUCCUCAUAUCAAUAUGCACCGGGUCGAUCUUGGAUAAUAAUACAAGGCCAAAGAACCCAGAUAACACCUUUCAAC